UGUUUGCAUCAGCAGACCGUACACUAAAAUUAGAAUCAUACAGAGAAGAUUAGCAUGGCCCUGUGGAAGGAUGUCACAUAAACUAUAUGUUAUCUAU
This 97-nucleotide small nuclear RNA is filed under the name Mus pahari (shrew mouse). The record is from RNAcentral. Lineage: Eukaryota; Metazoa; Chordata; Mammalia; Rodentia; Muridae.